UACGUAGGGGGCGAGCGUUGUCCGGAAUCAUUGGGCGUAAAGAGCGUGUAGGCGGUCCGGUAAGUCCGUUGUGAAAGUCCAGGGCUCAACCCUGGGAUGCCGGCGGAUACUGCCGGACUAGAGUCCGGAAGAGGCAAGUGGAAUUCCCGGUGUAGCGGUGAAAUGCGCAGAUAUCGGGAGGAACACCGACGGCGAAGGCAGCUUGCUGGGACGGUACUGACGCUGAGACGCGAAAGCGUGGGGAGCAAACAGGAUUAGAUACCCGAGUAGU
RNAcentral lists this ribosomal RNA (271 nucleotides) under uncultured bacterium. Its description in RNAcentral is "partial 16S ribosomal RNA". It matches the Rfam family "Bacterial small subunit ribosomal RNA", at positions 524 to 794 of the family's 1533-position model. The record is from RNAcentral.